UACGAAGGGGGCUAGCGUUGCUCGGAAUUACUGGGCGUAAAGGGUGCGUAGGCGGGUCUUUAAGUCAGGGGUGAAAUCCUGGAGCUCAACUCCAGAACUGCCUUUGAUACUGAAGAUCUUGAGUUCGGGAGAGGUGAGUGGAACUGCGAGUGUAGAGGUGAAAUUCGUAGAUAUUCGCAAGAACACCAGUGGCGAAGGCGGCUCACUGGCCCGAUACUGACGCUGAUGCACGAAAGCGUGGGGAGCAAACAGG
RNAcentral lists this ribosomal RNA (253 nucleotides) under uncultured bacterium. Its description in RNAcentral is "partial 16S ribosomal RNA". It matches the Rfam family "Bacterial small subunit ribosomal RNA", at positions 524 to 776 of the family's 1533-position model. The record is from RNAcentral.